Molecule: long non-coding RNA, 214 nt
Filed under: Elaeis guineensis (African oil palm)
Lineage: Eukaryota; Viridiplantae; Streptophyta; Magnoliopsida; Arecales; Arecaceae
Description: long non-coding RNA (EGUI_LNC038233)
Source: RNAcentral
CACUGCUGGUAAGUAUGGUACGAAGCUCUCACUGAUGCCAAGUAGCCACACAGAUCAUUCAAUCUCUACAGAUUAUCCACUCGAAGCUCUGAUCGGAUCUUCCUUCUUAGGAGUGCUAGCUCGCGUCGAAGGCCCUGGAUGGCUGAUCCAAGCUUCUUUCUUUAGAUCUCCCAGACUCCUCCAGAUCAGAAGAUAAAGUUUUAUGAGAAGGUGG